RNAcentral lists this small nuclear RNA (107 nucleotides) under Propithecus coquereli (Coquerel's sifaka). Lineage: Eukaryota; Metazoa; Chordata; Mammalia; Primates; Indriidae. The record is from RNAcentral.
GUGCUCACUUUGGCAGCACAUAUACUAAAAUUGGAAUGAUACAGAGAAGAUUAACAUGGCCCCUGCACAAGGAUGAUAUGAAAAUUCAUGAAGUGUUCCAUAUAAAA